This 861-nucleotide ribosomal RNA is filed under the name uncultured bacterium. RNAcentral's name for it is "bacterial SSU rRNA". It matches the Rfam family "Bacterial small subunit ribosomal RNA", at positions 524 to 1381 of the family's 1533-position model. The record is from RNAcentral.
UACGGGGGGAGCUAGCGUUACUCGGAAUAAUUGGGCGUAAAGGGUAUGUAGGCGGUUGUUAUUAACAUAAUUUUAAAGAUAAUGGAUUUAACCUUUUAUAAAAAUUAUUUGAUUUUUAAACUUGAGUUAAAAAGGAGAUAGUCGUAUUUCUAAUUAAAAGUUAAAAUUUGUUCUAGAUUAUUGAGACGGUCGAUCGGUGUAAACAACUAUCUAUCAUUAAACUGACGCUAAAAUACAAAAGUGUUGGGUCGCGAAUAGGAUUAGAUACCCUAGUAGUCCACACCCUGACCUAUGAGUGUUGAAUGUAAGAUUUUUUUUUUGUUCAAGCUAACGCGUAAACACUCCGCCUGGGUAGUACGAUCGCAAGGUUGAAACUCAAAGGAAUUGACGGAGAUCUGCACAUGCGGUGGAACAUGUGAUUUAAUGCGUAACUACGCGCAAACCUUACCACUGCUUGUUUGGAAUUUAAGUGUGUUUUUGUAUAUGGGUUUUAAUCAGGUGUUGCAUGGUUGUCGGAAGUCCGUGUUGAGAAAUGUUAGGUUAAUUCCCUUAACGGACGUAACCUUUACUUUAAUUAUGUUAUUUUAAAAAAUGAAUUAAAUUUUGUUAUUAUUGUGUCUUGAAGUCACCGCCUAUUGAUUAUAGGAGGAAGGUGAGGAACAAGUCAAAUCUUUAUGGCCUUAAUGUCUUGGGCUAUCCACGCGUUACAUUGGUUGUUACAAUGAGAAGCGAAAAAGUGAUUUUGAGCAAAUCUAUAAAAAUGAGCCGCAGUUCGAAUUGUUUUCUGAAACUUGAAAACAUGAAGCAGGAAUCGCAAGUAAUCGUUAAAAAGAACGUUACGGUGAAAAGUAGAACUGAUCU